CAGCAGCCGCGGUAAUACGUAGGGUGCAAGCGUUAAUCGGAAUUACUGGGCGUAAAGCGUGCGCAGGCGGUUAUAUAAGACAGAUGUGAAAUCCCCGGGCUCAACCUGGGAACUGCAUUUGUGACUGUAUAGCUAGAGUACGGCAGAGGGGGAUGGAAUUCCGCGUGUAGCAGUGAAAUGCGUAGAUAUGCGGAGGAACACCGAUGGCGAAGGCAAUCCCCUGGGCCUGUACUGACGCUGAGGUACGAAAGCAUGGGGAGCAAACAGGAUUAGAUACCCCCGUAGUCCCUGUCUCUUAUAC
RNAcentral lists this ribosomal RNA (301 nucleotides) under uncultured bacterium. RNAcentral's name for it is "partial 16S ribosomal RNA". It matches the Rfam family "Bacterial small subunit ribosomal RNA", at positions 509 to 807 of the family's 1533-position model. The record is from RNAcentral.